GACGAACGCUGGCGGCGUGCCUAACACAUGCAAGUCGAACGGGGUGAAGAGCUUCGGCUUUUCACUUAGUGGCGAACGGGUGAGUAACGCGUGAGAAACCUGCCUUUCAGUGGGGGACAACAGUUGGAAACGACUGCUAAUACCGCAUAACAUACACGGACCGCAUGAUCUGUGUAUCAAAGCUUUAUGUGCUGAAAGAUGGUCUCGCGUCUGAUUAGCUAGUUGGUGAGGUAACGGCUCACCAAGGCGACGAUCAGUAGCCGGUCUGAGAGGAUGAACGGCCACAUUGGGACUGAGAGUACCGGCCAGACC
RNAcentral lists this ribosomal RNA (312 nucleotides) under uncultured bacterium. RNAcentral describes it as "bacterial SSU rRNA". It matches the Rfam family "Bacterial small subunit ribosomal RNA", at positions 28 to 337 of the family's 1533-position model. The record is from RNAcentral.